RNAcentral lists this ribosomal RNA (496 nucleotides) under uncultured bacterium. RNAcentral's name for it is "partial 16S ribosomal RNA". It matches the Rfam family "Bacterial small subunit ribosomal RNA", at positions 29 to 507 of the family's 1533-position model. The record is from RNAcentral.
AUGAACGCUGGCGGCGUGCCUAGUACAUGCAAGUCGAGCGAACGGACGAGAAGCUUGCUUCUCUGAUGUUAGCGGCGGACGGGUGAGUAACACGUGGAUAACCUACCUAUAAGACUGGGAUAACUUCGGGAAACCGGAGCUAACACCGGAUAAUAUUUUGAACCGCAUGGUUCAAAAGUGAAAGACGGUCUUGCUGUCACUUAUAGAUGGAUCCGCGCUGCAUUAGCUAGUUGGUAAGGUAACGGCUUACCAAGGCAACGAUGCAUAGCCGACCUGAGAGGGUGAUCGGCCACACUGGAACUGAGACACGGUCCAGACUCCUACGGGAGGCAGCAGUAGGGAAUCUUCCGCAAUGGGCGAAAGCCUGACGGAGCAACGCCGCGUGAGUGAUGAAGGUCUUCGGAUCGUAAAACUCUGUUAUUAGGGAAGAACAUAUGUGUAAGUAACUGUGCACAUCUUGACGGUACCUAAUCAGAAAGCCACGGCUAACUACGUG